GGGUGCGCAUCAACGACCGUGCCAUCAACAUGGCUUGCAUCUCGACCAAGGGCAUGUACCAGCGGCCACGCAACGACACCAUCUCGGUGCACUUUCUCAAGCGGCCAGGCGGCUCCCUCUACCUGUGGGGCUUGAUGCAUGACGGCAUUCCGCACUCGGCCGAGAACUGCACUCGCUGGG
Molecule: ribosomal RNA, 180 nt
Filed under: Gephyrocapsa oceanica
Lineage: Eukaryota; Haptophyta; Isochrysidales; Noelaerhabdaceae
Description: partial Bacterial large subunit ribosomal RNA
Source: RNAcentral